UACGAAGGGGGCUAGCGUUGUUCGGAAUUACUGGGCGUAAAGCGCACGUAGGCGGACAUUUAAGUCAGGGGUGAAAUCCCAGAGCUCAACUCUGGAACUGCCUUUGAUACUGGGUGUCUUGAGUAUGGAAGAGGUGAGUGGAAUUCCGAGUGUAGAGGUGAAAUUCGUAGAUAUCAGGAAGAACACCCGUGGCGAAAGCGGCUCUCUGGGACGGUACUGACGCUGAGACGCGAAAGCGUGGGGAGCGAACAGG
This 253-nucleotide ribosomal RNA is filed under the name uncultured bacterium. RNAcentral's name for it is "partial 16S ribosomal RNA". It matches the Rfam family "Bacterial small subunit ribosomal RNA", at positions 524 to 776 of the family's 1533-position model. The record is from RNAcentral.